GCAUAUCAAUAAGCGGAGGAAAAGAAACCAACAGGGAUUGCCCUAGUAACGGCGAGUGAAGCGGCAACAGCUCAAAUUUGAAAUCUGGCUCUCUUUGGGGGUCCGAGUUGUAAUUUGCAGAGGAUGCUUUGGCAUUGGCGGCGGUCUAAGUUCCUUGGAACAGGACAUCACAGAGGGUGAGAAUCCCGUACGUGGUCGCCUGCCCUUGCCGUGUAAAGCUCCUUCGACGAGUCGAGUUGUUUGGGAAUGCAGCUCUAAAUGGGAGGUAAAUUUCUUCUAAAGCUAAAUACUGGCCAGAGACCGAUAGCGCACAAGUAGAGUGAUCGAAAGAUGAAAAGUACUUUGGAAAGAGAGUCAAAAAGCACGUGAAAUUGUUGAAAGGGAAGCGCUUGCAGCCAGACUUGCCCGCAGUUGCUCACCUAGGCUUUCGCCUGGGGCACUCUUCUGCGGGCAGGCCAGCAUCAGUUUGGGCGGUUGGAUAAAGGCCUCUGUCACGUAUCUCCCUUCGGGGUGACCUUAUAGGGGAGGCGCAAUGCAACCAGCCCGGACUGAGGUCCGCGCAUCUGCUAGGAUGCUGGCGUAAUGGCUGUAAGCGGCCCGUCUUGAAACACGGACCAAGGAGUCUAACAUCUAUGCGAGUGUUUGGGUGUCAAGCCCGAGCGCGCAAUGAAAGUGAACGGAGGUGGGAACCCUUUGGGUGCACCAUCGACCGAUCCUGAUGUCUUCGGAUGGAUUUGAGUAAGAGCAUAGCUGUUGGGACCCGAAAGAUGGUGAACUAUGCUUGAAUAGGGUGAAGCCAGAGGAAACUCUGGUGGAGGCUCGCAGCGGUUCUGACGUGCAAAUCGAUCGUCAAAUUUGGGCAUAGGGGCGAAAGACUAAUCGAAC
This 885-nucleotide ribosomal RNA is filed under the name Paraphaeosphaeria neglecta. RNAcentral describes it as "eukaryotic LSU rRNA". It matches the Rfam family "Eukaryotic large subunit ribosomal RNA", at positions 38 to 940 of the family's 3401-position model. Lineage: Eukaryota; Fungi; Ascomycota; Dothideomycetes; Pleosporales; Didymosphaeriaceae. The record is from RNAcentral.